CAGGGGUGNGGACAGUANGGAAAAAUGAAAGNAAAGCNGCUCAAAUUUGAAUUCUGGCCCUCGGGCCCGAGUUGGAAUUUGGAGAGGAUGCUUUAGGCUCGGCGCCGUCCGAGUUCCUUGGAACAGGACNCCAUAGAGGGUGAGAGCCCCGUACGGGCGGCCGCCUAGCCUUUGUAAAGCUCCUUCGACGAGUCGAGUAGUUUGGGAAUGCUGCUCAAAAUGGGAGGUAAAUUUCUUCUAAAGCUAAAUACCGGCCAGAGACCGAUAGCGCACAAGUAGAGUGAUCGAAAGAUGAAAAGCACUUUGAAAAGAGGGUUAAACAGUACGUGAAAUUGUUGAAAGGGAAGCGCCUGUGACCAGACUUGCGCCCCGUGGAUCACCCGGUGUUCUUCACCGGUGCACUCCGCGGGCUGCAGGCCAGCAUCGGUUUUCCUGGGGGGACAAAGGCCGCAGGAACGUGGCUCCUUCGGGAGUGUUAUAGCCUGUGGCGUCAUGCCCCUGGGGGGACCGAGG
This 513-nucleotide ribosomal RNA is filed under the name Ophiostoma karelicum. Its description in RNAcentral is "LSU rRNA". It matches the Rfam family "Eukaryotic large subunit ribosomal RNA", at positions 69 to 591 of the family's 3401-position model. The record is from RNAcentral. Lineage: Eukaryota; Fungi; Ascomycota; Sordariomycetes; Ophiostomatales; Ophiostomataceae.